UUCCAGCUCCAGUAGCGUAUAUUAAAGUUGUUGCAGUUAAAAAGCUCGUAGUUGGAUUUCUGGUAUGAGAGGUCUGGCCCGCCACGGUUACGUGCGUGUGCGCCGGAUGUUCUCUACCAUCUUUCUAGUUUUCUGCCCUACCAUUCAUUUGGCCUGGGCUCAGAGACUGGAUCUUUUACUUUGAAAAAAUUAGAGUGUUUAAAGCAGGCGUUUGUCAUUUGAAUACAUUAGCAUGGAAUAAUAAUCUAGGACUUAGUUCUUAUUUUGUUGGUUUCUAAGAAUCAGGUAAUGAUUGAUAGGGAUAGUUGGGGGUGCUAGUAUUCAACGGCCAGAGGUGAAAUUCUUGGAUUCGUUGAAGACUAACUUAUGCGAAAGCAUUCACCAAGGAUGUCUUCAUCA
RNAcentral lists this ribosomal RNA (399 nucleotides) under Cercozoa sp. RNAcentral's name for it is "partial small subunit ribosomal RNA". It matches the Rfam family "Eukaryotic small subunit ribosomal RNA", at positions 583 to 975 of the family's 1831-position model. The record is from RNAcentral. Lineage: Eukaryota; Cercozoa.